UACGUAGGGGGCGAGCGUUGUCCGGAUUCAUUGGGCGUAAAGCGCUCGUAGGCGGUUCGGCAAGUCGGGUGUGAAAACUCCAGGCUCAACCUGGAGACGCCACCCGAUACUGCUGUGACUUGAGUCCGGUAGGGGACCACGGAAUUCCUGGUGUAGCGGUGAAAUGCGCAGAUAUCAGGAGGAACACCGGUGGCGAAGGCGGUGGUCUGGGCCGGCACUGACGCUGAGGAGCGAAAGCGUGGGGAGCGAACAGG
RNAcentral lists this ribosomal RNA (254 nucleotides) under uncultured bacterium. RNAcentral's name for it is "partial 16S ribosomal RNA". It matches the Rfam family "Bacterial small subunit ribosomal RNA", at positions 524 to 776 of the family's 1533-position model. The record is from RNAcentral.